Molecule: transfer RNA, 72 nt
Filed under: Saccoglossus kowalevskii
Lineage: Eukaryota; Metazoa; Hemichordata; Enteropneusta; Harrimaniidae
Description: tRNA-Gln
Rfam family: tRNA
About the family: Transfer RNA (tRNA) molecules are approximately 80 nucleotides in length. Their secondary structure includes four short double-helical elements and three loops (D, anti-codon, and T loops). Further hydrogen bonds mediate the characteristic L-shaped molecular structure. tRNAs have two regions of fundamental functional importance: the anti-codon, which is responsible for specific mRNA codon recognition, and the 3' end, to which the tRNAs corresponding amino acid is attached (by aminoacyl-tRNA synthetases). tRNAs cope with the degeneracy of the genetic code in two manners: having more than one tRNA (with a specific anti-codon) for a particular amino acid; and 'wobble' base-pairing, i.e. permitting non-standard base-pairing at the 3rd anti-codon position.
Source: RNAcentral
CUUCUUAUGGUGUAAUGGUUAGCACUCUGGACUCUGAAUCCAGCGAUCCGAGUUCAAAUCUCGGUAGGAUCU